RNAcentral lists this ribosomal RNA (1372 nucleotides) under uncultured bacterium. Its description in RNAcentral is "bacterial SSU rRNA". It matches the Rfam family "Bacterial small subunit ribosomal RNA", at positions 28 to 1381 of the family's 1533-position model. The record is from RNAcentral.
GAUGAACGCUGGCGGCGUGCCUAAUACAUGCAAGUCGAGCGAACGGACGAGAAGCUUGCUUCUCUGAUGUUAGCGGCGGACGGGUGAGUAACACGUGGAUAACCUACCUAUAAGACUGGGAUAACUUCGGGAAACCGGAGCUAAUACCGGAUAAUAUUUUGAACCGCAUGGUUCAAAAGUGAAAGACGGUCUUGCUGUCACUUAUAGAUGGAUCCGCGCUGCAUUAGCUAGUUGGUAAGGUAACGGCUUACCAAGGCAACGAUGCAUAGCCGACCUGAGAGGGUGAUCGGCCACACUGGAACUGAGACACGGUCCAGACUCCUACGGGAGGCAGCAGUAGGGAAUCUUCCGCAAUGGGCGAAAGCCUGACGGAGCAACGCCGCGUGAGUGAUGAAGGUCUUCGGAUCGUAAAACUCUGUUAUUAGGGAAGAACAUAUGUGUAAGUAACUGUGCACAUCUUGACGGUACCUAAUCAGAAAGCCACGGCUAACUACGUGCCAGCAGCCGCGGUAAUACGUAGGUGGCAAGCGUUAUCCGGAAUUAUUGGGCGUAAAGCGCGCGUAGGCGGUUUUUUAAGUCUGAUGUGAAAGCCCACGGCUCAACCGUGGAGGGUCAUUGGAAACUGGAAAACUUGAGUGCAGAAGAGGAAAGUGGAAUUCCAUGUGUAGCGGUGAAAUGCGCAGAGAUAUGGAGGAACACCAGUGGCGAAGGCGACUUUCUGGCCUGUAACUGACGCUGAUGUGCGAAAGCGUGGGGAUCAAACAGGAUUAGAUACCCUGGUAGUCCACGCCGUAAACGAUGAGUGCUAAGUGUUAGGGGGUUUCCGCCCCUUGGUGCUGCAGCUAACGCAUUAAGCACUCCGCCUGGGGAGUACGACCGCAAGGUUGAAACUCAAAGGAAUUGACGGGGACCCGCACAAGCGGUGGAGCAUGUGGUUUAAUUCGAAGCAACGCGAAGAACCUUACCAAAUCUUGACAUCCUUUGACAACUCUAGAGAUAGAGCCUUCCCCUUCGGGGGACAAAGUGACAGGUGGUGCAUGGUUGUCGUCAGCUCGUGUCGUGAGAUGUUGGGUUAAGUCCCGCAACGAGCGCAACCCUUAAGCUUAGUUGCCAUCAUUAAGUUGGGCACUCUAAGUUGACUGCCGGUGACAAACCGGAGGAAGGUGGGGAUGACGUCAAAUCAUCAUGCCCCUUAUGAUUUGGGCUACACACGUGCUACAAUGGACAAUACAAAGGGCAGCGAAACCGCGAGGUCAAGCAAAUCCCAUAAAGUUGUUCUCAGUUCGGAUUGUAGUCUGCAACUCGACUACAUGAAGCUGGAAUCGCUAGUAAUCGUAGAUCAGCAUGCUACGGUGAAUACGUUCCCGGGUCU